This 272-nucleotide ribosomal RNA is filed under the name uncultured bacterium. RNAcentral's name for it is "partial 16S ribosomal RNA". It matches the Rfam family "Bacterial small subunit ribosomal RNA", at positions 15 to 270 of the family's 1533-position model. The record is from RNAcentral.
GAUCCUGGCUCAGAGUGAACGCUGGCGGUAGGCCUAACACAUGCAAGUCGAACGGCAGCACAGUAAGAGCUUGCUCUUAUGGGUGGCGAGUGGCGGACGGGUGAGGAAUACAUCGGAAUCUACCUUUUCGUGGGGGGAUAACGUAGGGAAACUUACGCUAAUACCGCAUACGACCUCGGUGAAAGCAGGGGACCGUUCGGGCCGUUCGUCGCGGAGUAGAUGAGCCGACUGUCGGAGUUAGCUAGUUUGGUCGGGGGUAAAGGGGAACCCCG